UGCCCUGCAGCUUCCUAGGCUGGCUGUAUUUGGAGAGCCCGGGGAGCCACAGGCUUC
This is a microRNA precursor of Bos indicus x Bos taurus (hybrid cattle), 57 nucleotides long. The record is from Ensembl. Lineage: Eukaryota; Metazoa; Chordata; Mammalia; Artiodactyla; Bovidae.